CAUGGUAGCAGGACGUGGGUGUACUUGUGCAAGAGACUGCAGCGGGGUUUUGCUGUGUAGUGUCUUUUGAUCACAGUUUUCCCUCGGUGGUGCGCUGCCGUGUGGUGCUGUGCAAGAGACUGCAGCGAGGCUUCGCUGUGUAGUGCCUUUUGGUCACAGUUUUCCCUUAGUGGUGACGUCACUGUCCACAUUAACCUUGCUGCUUGCCAUGGGCUCUUUGCCGCUGCUGCUUGGAGCUUGUUCCAAUGCGUCACCUUUACCUUGUGGGGUUGUGCAAAAGACUGCAGCAAGUUUAUGUUGUGUAGUGCCCUUUUGGUCACAACUUUCCUCGGUAGGGGACGUUGCCGUGCACAUUGA
This 357-nucleotide long non-coding RNA is filed under the name Malus domestica (apple). Its description in RNAcentral is "long non-coding RNA (MDOM_LNC014019)". Lineage: Eukaryota; Viridiplantae; Streptophyta; Magnoliopsida; Rosales; Rosaceae. The record is from RNAcentral.